CACCUACGGGAGGCAGCAGUGGGGGAUAUUGCACAAUGGGGGAAACCCUGAUGCAGCGACGCCGCGUGGGUGAAGAAGCGCCUCGGCGCGUAAAGCUCUGUCAGCAGGGAAGAAAAUGACGGUACCUGAAGAAGAAGCCCCGGCUAACUACGUGCCAGCAGCCGCGGUAAUACGUAGGGGGCAAGCGUUAUCCGGAUUUACUGGGUGUAAAGGGGGCGCAGACGGCGAUGCAAGCCAGGAGUGAAAGCCCGGGGCCCAACCCCGGGACUGCUCCUGGACCUGCGUGGCCAGAGUGCAGGAGGGGG
Molecule: ribosomal RNA, 305 nt
Filed under: uncultured bacterium
Lineage: Bacteria
Description: bacterial SSU rRNA
Rfam family: Bacterial small subunit ribosomal RNA
Source: RNAcentral